RNAcentral lists this non-coding RNA (106 nucleotides) under Novosphingobium sp. RNAcentral's name for it is "TPP sequence". It matches the Rfam family "TPP riboswitch aptamer (THI element)". Rfam says of the family: Vitamin B(1) in its active form thiamin pyrophosphate (TPP) is an essential coenzyme that is synthesised by coupling of pyrimidine and thiazole moieties in bacteria. The previously detected thiamin-regulatory element, thi box was extended, resulting in a new, highly conserved RNA secondary structure, the THI element, which is widely distributed in eubacteria and also occurs in some archaea. Analysis of operon structures identified a large number of new candidate thiamin-regulated genes, mostly transporters, in various prokaryotic organisms. The record is from RNAcentral. Lineage: Bacteria; Pseudomonadati; Pseudomonadota; Alphaproteobacteria; Sphingomonadales; Sphingomonadaceae.
UACAUAUCCCCGGGGAGCCAUGUGGCUGAGAGGUGGGCCUAACGCCCCACGACCCGCUGAACCUGAACCCGUUAAUCCGGGCGUAGGGAGGGAAGCGUCUGUCGGC